CCUACGGGAGGCAGCAGUGAGGAAUAUUGGUCAAUGGACGAGAGUCUGAACCAGCCAAGUAGCGUGAAGGAUGACUGCCCUAUGGGUUGUAAACUUCUUUUAUAAAGGAAUAAAACGAGGCACGUGUGCCUUUUUGCAUGUACUUUAUGAAUAAGGAUCGGCUAACUCCGGGCCAGCAGCCGCGGUAAUACGGGGGAUCCGAGCGUUAUCCGGAUUUAUUGGGGUUAAAGGGAGCGUAGAUGGGUUGUUAAGUCAGUUGUUAAAGUUUGCGGCUCAACCGUAAAAUUGCAAUUGAUACUGGCAGUCUUGAGUACAGUUGAGGUAUGCGGAAUGCGUGGUGUAGCGGUGAAAUGCUUAGAUAUCACGAAGAACCCCGAUUGCGAAGGCAGCUUACUAACCUGUGACUGACAUUGAUGCUCGAAAGUGUGGGUAUCAAACAGGAUUAGAUACCCCUGUAGUC
This 460-nucleotide ribosomal RNA is filed under the name uncultured bacterium. Its description in RNAcentral is "partial 16S ribosomal RNA". It matches the Rfam family "Bacterial small subunit ribosomal RNA", at positions 338 to 795 of the family's 1533-position model. The record is from RNAcentral.